This 465-nucleotide ribosomal RNA is filed under the name uncultured bacterium. Its description in RNAcentral is "partial 16S ribosomal RNA". It matches the Rfam family "Bacterial small subunit ribosomal RNA", at positions 338 to 795 of the family's 1533-position model. The record is from RNAcentral.
CCUACGGGAGGCAGCAGUAGGGAAUCUUCCACAAUGGGCGAAAGCCUGAUGGAGCAACGCCGCGUGGGUGAAGAAGGUCUUCGGAUCGUAAAACCCUGUUGUUAGAGAAGAAAGUGCGUGAGAGUAACUGUUCACGUUUCGACGGUAUCUAACCAGAAAGCGACGGCUAACUACGUGCCAGCAGCCGCGGUAAUACGUAGGUGGCAAGCGUUAUCCGGAUUUAUUGGGCGUAAGGGGAACGCAGGCGGUCUUUUAAGUCUGAUGUGAAAGCCUUCGGCUUAACCGGAGUAGUGCAUUGGAAACUGGGAGACUGGAGUGCAGAAGAGGAGAGUGGAACUCCAUGUGUAGCGGUGAAAUGCGUAGAUAUAUGGAAGAACACCAGUGGCGAAAGCGGCUCUCUGGUCUGUAACUGACGCUGAGGUUCGAAAGCGUGGGUAGCAAACAGGAUUAGAUACCCCAGUAGUC